GGUCAAGUUUUUAAGGGCGCACGGUGGAUGCCUUGGCAUUGGGAGCCGAAGAAGGACGUGGGAAUCUGCGAUAAGCCUGGUGGAGUCGAUAACCGGACGUUGAGACCAGGAUUUCCGAAUGGGGAAACCCCGCACCAUGUCAUGUGGUGCGACCCGCAGCUGAACACAUAGGCUGCGUGGAGGGAACGCGGGGAAGUGAAACAUCUCAGUACCCGCAGGAAGAGAAAACAAAAGUGAUUCCGUUAGUAGUGGCGAGCGAACGCGGAUGGGGCUAAACCGAGCCAUGUGUGAUAGCCGGCGGGCGUUGCAUGGUCGGGGUUGUGGGACUUUCACGUUCCAGUUCUGCCGGACUGGUGAAGUGAGGUGCGGGCGCAUAGGCGAAUCGGCUUGAAUGCCGGACCAUAGAGGGUGAGAGUCCCGUAGUGCGAAUGUGUUCCGCCGCUUUGUGAGAGCAUCCCAAGUAGGACGGGGCCCGAGAAAUCCCGUUUGAAUCCGCCAGGACCACCUGGUAAGCCUAAAUACUACCCAAUGACCGAUAGCGGACAAGUACCGUGAGGGAAUGGUGAAAAGUACCCCGGGAGGGGAGUGAAAUAGUACCUGAAACCGUGCGCUUACAAUCCGUUGGAGCCUCCUUGUUGGGGUGACAGCGUGCCUUUUGAAGAAUGAGCCUGCGAGUUAGUGUUACGUCGCGAGGUUAACCCGUGUGGGGAAGCCGUAGCGAAAGCGAGUCUGAAUAGGGCGAGUCAGUGGCGUGAUCUAGACCCGAAGCGAAGUGAUCUACCCAUGGCCAGGUUGAAGCGCGUGUAAGAGCGCGUGGAGGACCGAACCCACUUCAGUUGAAAAUGGAGGGGAUGAGCUGUGGGUAGGGGUGAAAGGCCAAUCAAACUUCGUGAUAGCUGGUUCUCCCCGAAAUGCAUUUAGGUGCAGCGUUGCGUGUUUCUUGCCGGAGGUAGAGCUACUGGAUGGCUAAUGGGCCCUACAAGGUUACUGACGUCAGCCAAACUCCGAAUGCCGGCAAGUGAGAGCGCAGCAGUGAGACUGUGGGGGAUAAGCUUCAUAGUCGAGAGGGAAACAGCCCAGAACGCCAACUAAGGCCCCUAAGCGUGUGCUAAGUGGAAAAGGAUGUGGAGUUGCGAAGACAACCAGGAGGUUGGCUUAGAAGCAGCCACCCUUGAAAGAGUGCGUAAUAGCUCACUGGUCAAGUGAUUCCGCGCCGACAAUGUAGCGGGGCUCAAGCACACCGCCGAAGUUGCGUCAUUCAUAUUUUUGGCAGGCCUUCGUGGUCCAGCCGUGUGGAUGGGUAGGGGAGCGUCGUGUGGGCAGUGAAGUCGCGGUGUAAACCAGCGGUGGAGCCCACACGAGUGAGAAUGCAGGCAUGAGUAGCGAAUGACGGGUGAGAAACCCGUCCGCCGAAUGAUCAAGGGUUCCAGGGUCAAGCUAAUCUGCCCUGGGUAAGUCGGGACCUAAGGCGAGGCCGACAGGCGUAGUCGAUGGACAACGGGUUGAUAUUCCCGUACCGGUGAAAAACCGCCCAUAUUGACCUGGUGAUGCUAACCACCCCAAGUGCCCACCAUCCUUCCUUCGGGAAGGGUACCGGGUGUGCGGCGUGGGACCCGAACCAGGGAGGUAAGCGUAUUAACAGGUGUGACGCAGGAAGGUAGCCGAGCCAGGCAAUGGAAUUGACCUGGUCCAAGGAUGUAGGGCGAGUCAUAGGCAAAUCCGUGACUCAC
This 1730-nucleotide ribosomal RNA is filed under the name Paeniglutamicibacter psychrophenolicus. RNAcentral describes it as "partial 23S ribosomal RNA". It matches the Rfam family "Bacterial large subunit ribosomal RNA", at positions 1 to 1552 of the family's 2925-position model. Lineage: Bacteria; Bacillati; Actinomycetota; Actinomycetes; Micrococcales; Micrococcaceae. The record is from RNAcentral.